AUUGAACGCUGGCGGCAGGCCUAACACAUGCAAGUCGAGCGGAUGAAGGGAGCUUGCUCCUGGAUUCAGCGGCGGACGGGUGAGUAAUGCCUAGGAAUCUGCCUGGUCGUGGGGGAUAACGUCCGGAAACGGGCGCUAAUACCGCAUACGUCCCGAGGGAGAAAGUGGGGGAUCUUCGGACCUCACGCGAUCGGAUGAGCCUAGGUCGGAUUAGCUAGUUGGUGGGGUAAAGGCCUACCAAGGCGACGAUCCGUAACUGGUCUGAGAGGAUGAUCAGCCACACUGGAACUGAGACACGGUCCAGACUCCUACGGGAGGCAGCAGUGGGGAAUAUUGGACAAUGGGCGAAAGCCUGAUCCAGCCAUGCCGCGUGUAUGAAGAAGGUCUUCGGAUUGUAAAGCACUUUAAGUUGGGAGGAAGGGCAGUAAGUUAAUACCUGGCUGUUUUGACGUUACCAUCAGAAUAAGCACCGGCUAACUUCGUG
This 484-nucleotide ribosomal RNA is filed under the name uncultured bacterium. Its description in RNAcentral is "partial 16S ribosomal RNA". It matches the Rfam family "Bacterial small subunit ribosomal RNA", at positions 30 to 507 of the family's 1533-position model. The record is from RNAcentral.